Lathyrus oleraceus (garden pea) is the source of this 699-nucleotide long non-coding RNA. RefSeq lists it as uncharacterized. Lineage: Eukaryota; Viridiplantae; Streptophyta; Magnoliopsida; Fabales; Fabaceae. The transcript is spliced from 3 exons. The record is from RefSeq and is a predicted model, not a curated record.
ACCAACUGAGUUUGUGAUCAACUCAGUGAGUUCAAACCAACUAACUCCUGGCCAAAAUAAAAAACUCCUAGCCUAACUCCAAUCCUCCAUUCGAUCCGAACCUGCACCCUAUAAAUUCAGAUCCUCACAAUUCAUUUUGGAGGUUCCCACUUUUUUUAUUCUGGAAUUGCUCACACUCUCCAUCCCCUCAAACUUCACUAUAUGUUCGGAAUCACCAAUCAAUGUUAGAGCUUCAACAUCAGAAGCUAUAAUCAGUGGAGCUUCGACCUCAACACUCCCACUUAUCCUCACAGAGCGAUGCGACAAGAACGCGAAAACAAUAGUAGGAAAAUCAAGAGGCAGAAGAAGAAGUUGAAGAAGAAAAAAGCGUAGGAAGAAGCGAAAGCAGAAUUUUUUGAAGGAGGCAAGGAGCUUACCGGAAUUCCGCCGUCGACUUCGUCUUCUCCGGAAGGUAAAAUGGCUUUUAUUACAGCAAAUCGAGUCAGUUGCAUAAAAAAAAAAGGUUCAUGCUAUUGAUAUUGAACAAAAAGAGGUUGUUGCUAAGAAGACUGCGGCUAGCAAAAAAAACAUACAUCUCAGAGAUGCUUUUGCUACUUAGUUUUAUUUCUUUUUAAGUUAUGAAUUGGUUGUAUAUUUAGAAUAUUUAGAAGUUAAACGAUUAUAUAUCAGUGGAUUGUUGUAUAUGUAUGGAUUGUUGUA